This is a long non-coding RNA of Myotis brandtii (Brandt's bat), 832 nucleotides long. RefSeq lists it as uncharacterized. The transcript has 5 exons. The record is from RefSeq and is a predicted model, not a curated record. Lineage: Eukaryota; Metazoa; Chordata; Mammalia; Chiroptera; Vespertilionidae.
UGAGGUUCCGAAGGACGGCGCGCCUCGGGCCAGCCAAGGGCCAGUGUGAGCUAAGGAGGAAAAUGCCAGGCCAGCCCACCAGAAACGCGAAACUGAAGGCCUGUGGGGGCCCGUCUGCUUCUGCGGCAUUCAGUCUUCAAACAUUUGCUCAGCCUGUUCCGUGUUCACUCUGGAAAUGUGAGCCUUUGCCGUUGGAAGGAGCAGUGCUUUCCACCUCAUCUUUAACUUUUCACUUAUUAGGGUGAUCAUCAGUGUGUUGUGAGGAGGAAAAAAUUCAUUUCAGGAGAUUGGAGCUGGUGGACUGUGAGUUAAAGGAAUUGCAAUGAAAUGUAAAUACAGGAGAACUGUCACCAAGCUCAAAAUGAAGAACAAAGGAGGACGGGGGAGGGGCCACUUUCACCUUGGCAUUGAAGACGCCCGUCUCUCUGCACCUGUUCCACCUGCCGCCUGGCUGGGAUCCACUCCUUUACUGUUUGCUGUUUCUGCACGGCCCCGAGGAGCCAUUCCUGAGAAGUAGCACUUAGCUUUGCAGGAAGCCAGUUUCCGCACAGAUAGGAGCCGUGGAAUGCCUGCCACAAACUUUCCUGCCAACAGAUGCGUUUUGACAGUGGUUCAUGGACCCUUGUCAUCCCAGCAUGGAGAAAAGAUAGAGGACACGUGGGCAAAUCCCUAUCGCUCAGCUAACCUGGGGACAUUCCAUGACCCUGCAAAAUUGGAGCUUCCCAUACAGCAACUCUUUGAAGUUGAGAUCAAGUCCUUAGUUCCCUUGGCCCAAGCAUGUCAAACUCACGGCCCGCGGGCCGCAUGUGGCCCGCAACGAAUUUUUUUUUCG